UACGUAGGCAGCAAUCGUUGUUCGGAAUUACUGGGCGUAAAGAGUGUGUAGGCGGUUGGGCAAGUCUGGUGUGAAAUCUCCCGGCUUAACUGGGAGGGUGCUCUAGAAACUGCCUGGCUUGAGUGUCGGAGAGGAAGGCGGAAUUCCUGGAGUAGCGGUGAAAUGCGUAGAUAUCAGGAGGAACACCAGCGGUGUAGACGGCCUUCUUGACGCCAACUGAGGCUGAGACACGAAAGCGUGGGGAGCAAAGAGG
Molecule: ribosomal RNA, 253 nt
Filed under: uncultured bacterium
Lineage: Bacteria
Description: partial 16S ribosomal RNA
Rfam family: Bacterial small subunit ribosomal RNA
Source: RNAcentral